RNAcentral lists this ribosomal RNA (254 nucleotides) under uncultured bacterium. RNAcentral's name for it is "partial 16S ribosomal RNA". It matches the Rfam family "Bacterial small subunit ribosomal RNA", at positions 524 to 776 of the family's 1533-position model. The record is from RNAcentral.
CACGUAGGGGGCGAGCGUUGUCCGGAUUCAUUGGGCGUAAAGGGCGCGCAGGCGGCUCGGAAAGUCGGGUGUGAAACCUGGGGCUUAACCCCGGGCCUGCAGUGGGUACGGGCAGACUAGAGUGUGGUAGGGGAGACUGGAAUUCCUGGUGUAGCGGUGAAAUGCGCAGAUAUCAGGAGGAACACCGGUGGCGAAGGCGGGUCUCUGGGCCGGUACUGACGCUGGAGGUGCGGAAAGCGUGGGGAGCAAACAGG